This 1407-nucleotide long non-coding RNA is filed under the name Salmo trutta (river trout). RNAcentral describes it as "lncRNA (ENSSTUG00000009492.1)". The record is from RNAcentral. Lineage: Eukaryota; Metazoa; Chordata; Actinopteri; Salmoniformes; Salmonidae.
AGGUGUAGUACUGAAACUAUCGAGGUCACCUAGCCAGCUACACCUAGCCAGCUACACGGUCAAACAAAGUCAACAACGCAGCCACUGCUAGCUAGCCUACUCCACCAGCCAGCAGUACUGUAUCAUUUUCGUCAUUUCAGUCAAUAGAUUUUCUGCAACGUAAGCUUAACUUUCUGAACAUUCGAGACGUGUAGUCCACUUGUCAUUCCAAUCUCCUUUGCAUUAGCGUAGCCUCUUCUGUAGCUUGUCAACUAUGUGUCUGUCGAUCCCGGUUCUCUCCACUCUGCACAGGCCAUACAAACGCUUCACACCGCGUGGCCGCUGCCACUCUAACCUGGUGGUCCCAGCGCGCACGACCCACGUGGAGUUCCAGGUCUCCGGCAGCCUCUGGAACUGCCGGUCUGCGGCCAACAAGGCUGAGUUCAUCUCAGCCUAUGCUACCCUCCAGUCCCUAGACUUCCUGGCGCUGACGGAAACAUGGAUCACCACAGAUAACACUGCUACUCCUACUGCUCUCUCCUCGUCUGGCCACGUGUUCUCGCAUACCCCUAGAGCAUCGAGCCAGCGGGGUGGUGGCACUGGAAUCCUCAUCUCUCCCAAGUGGACAUUCUCUCUUUCUCCCCUGACCCAUCUGUCUAUCUCCUCAUUUGAAUUCCAUGCUGUCACAGUUAUCAGCCCUUUCAAGCUUAACAUCCUCAUCAUUUAUCGCCCUCCAGGUUCCCUUGGAGAGUUCAUCAAUGAGCUUGACGCCUUGAUAAGUUCCUUCCCUGAGGAUGGCUCACCUCUCACAGUUCUGGGUGACUUUAACCUCCCCACGUCUACCUUCGACUCAUUCCUCUCUGCCUCCUUCUUUCCACUCCUCUCCUCUUUUGACCUCACCCUCUCACCUUCCCCCCCUACUCACAAGGCAGGCAAUACGCUUGACCUCAUCUUUACUAGAUGCUGUUCUUCCACUAAUCUCAUUGCAACUCCUCUCCAAGUCUCCGACCACUACCUUGUAUCCUUUUCCCUCUCGCUCUCAUCAAAAACUUCUCACUCUGCCCCUACUCGGAUGGUAUUGCGCCGUCCCAACCUUCGCUCUCUCUCUCCUGCUACUCUCUCCUCUUCCAUCCUAUCAUCUCUUCCCUCUGCUCAAACCUUCUCCAACCUAUCUCCUGAUUUUGCCUCCUCAACCCUCCUCUCCUCCCUCUCUGCAUCCUUUGAUUUUCUCUGUCCCCUAUCCUCCAGGCCGGCUCGGUCCUCCCCUCCUGCUCCGUGGCUCGACGACUCACUGCGAGCUCACAGAACAGGGCUCCGGGCAGCCGAGCGGAAAUGGAGGAAAACUCGCCUCCCUGCGGACCUCGCAUCCUUUCACUCCCUCCUCUCUACAUUUUCCUCUUCUGUCUCUGCUGCUAAAGCCACUUUCUA